GAAACGACUGCUAAUACCGCAUAAGCCCACAGCUCGGCAUCGAGCAGAGGGAAAAGGAGCAAUCCGCUUUGAGAUGGCCUCGCGUCCGAUUAGCUAGUUGGUGAGGUAACGGCCCACCAAGGCAACGAUCGGUAGCCGGACUGAGAGGUUGAACGGCCACAUUGGGACUGAGACACGGCCCAGACUCCUACGGGAGGCAGCAGUGGGGAAUAUUGCACAAUGGGGGAAACCCUGAUGCAGCGACGCCGCGUGGAGGAAGAAGGUCUUCGGAUUGUAAACUCCUGUUGUUGGGGAAGAUAAUGACGGUACCCAACAAGGAAGUGACGGCUAACUACGUGCCAGCAGCCGCGGUAAAACGUAGGUCACAAGCGUUGUCCGGAAUUACUGGGUGUAAAGGGAGCGCAGGCGGGAAGACAAGUUGGAAGUGAAAUCUAUGGGCUCAACCCAUAAACUGCUUUCAAAACUGUUUUUCUUGAGUAGUGCAGAGGUAGGCGGAAUUCCCGGUGUAGCGGUGGAAUGCGUAGAUAUCGGGAGGAACACCAGUGGCGAAGGCGGCCUACUGGGCACCAACUGACGCUGAGGCUCGAAAGUGUGGGUAGCAAACAGGAUUAGAUACCCUGGUAGUCCACACCGUAAACGAAGAUUACUAGGUGUUGGAGGAUUGACCCCUUCAGUGCC
RNAcentral lists this ribosomal RNA (678 nucleotides) under uncultured bacterium. RNAcentral's name for it is "bacterial SSU rRNA". It matches the Rfam family "Bacterial small subunit ribosomal RNA", at positions 153 to 847 of the family's 1533-position model. The record is from RNAcentral.